This is a small nuclear RNA of Coturnix japonica (Japanese quail), 128 nucleotides long. NCBI's taxonomy places the organism in Eukaryota, Metazoa, Chordata, Aves, Galliformes, Phasianidae. The record is from Ensembl.
GUGUUGUAUGAAAGGAGAGAAGGUUAGCACUCCCCUGGAUAAGGAUGGAAGAGGCCCUAGUGGCCUAUGCAACAUGCGUAUGGUUAAGGCAUUGCCAUUUUUUUCCUUAUUGCACUCUACAACUUCCU